CAACAGGACAUGAUCCACAUCGCCGACACGAAGGUCGCUCGUCGUUACGGAGAUUUCUUCAUCCGACAGAUCCACAAGUUUGAGGAGCUGAACAGGACUCUGAAGAAAUUGCCCGCCACCGGGACGACGACGACGGCGGCGGCGGCGUCAGGGGGCGCGACGAGCCGAUGAACGUGACUCGAAGACGACCCGGUGGACUCAGAACUCUUCAACUUUUCUAACUUACCAACAAUAAAAGGGUCGAGCUCCUUCA
Molecule: long non-coding RNA, 253 nt
Organism: Nematolebias whitei (Rio pearlfish)
Lineage: Eukaryota; Metazoa; Chordata; Actinopteri; Cyprinodontiformes; Rivulidae
Exons: 2
Source: RefSeq, a predicted model, not a curated record